RNAcentral lists this ribosomal RNA (681 nucleotides) under uncultured delta proteobacterium. RNAcentral describes it as "bacterial SSU rRNA". It matches the Rfam family "Bacterial small subunit ribosomal RNA", at positions 57 to 713 of the family's 1533-position model. The record is from RNAcentral. Lineage: Bacteria; Deltaproteobacteria.
GCAAGUCGAACGAGAAAGGGUGCCUUCGGGUGCCCCGGUAAAGUGGCGCACGGGUGAGUAACACGUGGAUAAUCUACCUCCGGGUGGAGGAUAACGCUCCCGAAAGGGGCGCUAAUACUGCAUAAGACCACGUCCUGAAAUGGAUGAGGUCAAAGCCGGCCUCUAUAUAUAAGCUGGCGCCUGGAGAUGAGUCCGCGGCCCAUCAGGUUGAUGGUAGGGUAAUGGCCUACCAUGCCUAAGACGGGUAGCUGGUCUGAGAGGAUGAUCAGCCACACUGGAACUGAGACACGGUCCAGACUCCUACGGGAGGCAGCAGUGGGGAAUCUUGCGCAAUGGGCGAAAGCCUGACGCAGCGACGCCGCGUGAGUGAUGAAGGCCUUAGGGUUGUAAAGCUCUGUGGAGAGGGACGAAUAAGGUACGGUUAAUACCCGUAUUGAUGACGGUACCUCCUUAGCAAGCACCGGCUAACUCUGUGCCAGCAGCCGCGGUAAGACAGAGGGUGCAAACGUUGUUCGGAAUUACUGGGCGUAAAGCGCGUGUAGGCUGUUUUGCAAGUCGGGUGUGAAANCCCAGGGCUCAACCUUGGAAGUGCACUCGAAACUGCAAGACUAGAAUCUCGGAGAGGGUAGCGGAAUUCUGGGUGUAGAGGUGAAAUUCGUAGAUAUCCAGAGGAACACCGGU